AGAAUGUCUCAAUGAUGGAGACGCGUUUUGCUUAUCUCUCAUUCUGAUUUGGAUUCUGAUUGGUUUUCCUCUUCUUAGGCCAAGCGGUCAGUGGAUGGUCAGAAGACCACAUUUUGGCAUGAUAUUUGGGUUGGCUUAAUCCUGUUAUGCAUCUCUUUUGAGCGGUUAUUUCUUGUUUUUAAGUAGAAAAAUCAUAUGGUGGGCUCUAUGGGUUCUUGGGAGGGGGACAUUUAGGUGUGAAGUUUUAGGUGGAGGCGUAUUCUUCGGGUUUGGG
This 274-nucleotide long non-coding RNA is filed under the name Lathyrus oleraceus (garden pea). RNAcentral describes it as "Pisum sativum (pea) long non-coding RNA (PSAT_LNC014625)". The record is from RNAcentral. Lineage: Eukaryota; Viridiplantae; Streptophyta; Magnoliopsida; Fabales; Fabaceae.